Molecule: ribosomal RNA, 300 nt
Filed under: uncultured Aquifex sp.
Lineage: Bacteria; Pseudomonadati; Aquificota; Aquificia; Aquificales; Aquificaceae
Description: bacterial SSU rRNA
Rfam family: Bacterial small subunit ribosomal RNA
Source: RNAcentral
CGUAACUCCGUGCAAGCAGGCGCGGGAAUAGGUGGGAGGCGAGCGGUAUACCGAAUUAUUGGGCGUAAAGCGUCCGUAGGGGGCGAGUCAAGUCUGCGGUCAAAGACUGGGGCUUAACCCUGGAAAGGCCGGGGAAACUGACGAGCUAGAGUGCAGUAGGGGGAGAGGGAAUUCCCGGUGUAGCGGUGAAAUGCGUAGAGCUCGGGAAGAACAUCGGUGGCGAAAGCGCUCUACUGGACUGCAACUGACACUCAGGGACGAAAGCUAGGGGAGCGAAUGGGAUUAGAUACCCCAGUAGUC